CAGAAAAGAGUGGUGAGCCGGCGGCAAACUGAGUUUGACCGGCAGAGAGCAAUGAGGGGAGAAAGAAUCAAACAAAUCAUUCAAGCCCGAAAACAAGAGAGGGAGGCCAAGAGGAAGAAAAUAUUUUAUGUGAGGUCUGAAGAAGAAAGACUGAGAAAGUUGCGUGAAGAGGAGGAAGCUCACAAGCGUGAAGAAGCUGAGAGACGAAGGAAAGAAGAAGCUGAACGUAAGGCAAAGUUAGAUGAGAUUGCUGAGAAGCAGAGGCA
This 266-nucleotide unclassified non-coding RNA is filed under the name Hevea brasiliensis (rubber tree). Lineage: Eukaryota; Viridiplantae; Streptophyta; Magnoliopsida; Malpighiales; Euphorbiaceae. The record is from RNAcentral.